Cinara cedri is the source of this 233-nucleotide non-coding RNA. The record is from the annotation of a GenBank genome assembly. NCBI's taxonomy places the organism in Eukaryota, Metazoa, Arthropoda, Insecta, Hemiptera, Aphididae.
UAAUAAUAUUAAUAUAGAGUUGUCGCCAAAACGUAAAAAUCUUAAACCGUUAAAGAACAAAACGAAAAACGACGACGGCGGUCACUGCCGAGUGUGGCUAUAGGAAAAAUAAACUUUGUCAUAAAAGUAUAAUAAUAGUAUAAUUAUUAAUAAAAUGAUUAAUCGAUUAUUAUAAAUUAGUUAAUCGUUUUGGUCGUAAAACAUCACUGCUGUAUUUUAUACUUGUUUGUUUG